GACGAACGCUGGCGGUGUGCUUCACACAUGCAAGUCGAACGAGGUAGCAAUACCUAGUGGCGGACGGGUGAGUAACGCGUGGGAAUCUGCCUUUAGAUGGGGGGAUAACGGGUCGAAAGACUCGCUAAUACCGCAUAUGACGAAAGUUGAAAGGAGUAAUCCGUCUAAAGAUGAGCCCGCGUCCGAUUAGCUAGUUGGUAGAGUAAAAGCCUACCAAGGCGACGAUCGGUAGCUGGUCUGAGAGGAUGAUCAGCCACAAUGGGAACUAGAGACACGGCCCAUACUCCUACGGAGGCAGCAGUGGGAAUUUUACGCAAUGGGCGAAAGCCUGACGUAGCGACACCGCGUGAGCGAAGAAGCCCUUGGGGUGUAAAGCUCUGUCAGCUGGAACGAAAAAAGUGACGGUACCAGCAGA
This 415-nucleotide ribosomal RNA is filed under the name uncultured bacterium. RNAcentral describes it as "bacterial SSU rRNA". It matches the Rfam family "Bacterial small subunit ribosomal RNA", at positions 28 to 485 of the family's 1533-position model. The record is from RNAcentral.